CAGGAAGGGCAGCUCGUCGCCGCAGCCUUGAAGCUUCAGAACCCGACUGUUCAGAUCCAAGCAGCACUGAGGGAGGAUCCACAUGCAACACCUGGAUCAGGCGUGGAAACAAGAACGACUGAUUAUGAUCACCUGCAGGAACCAACCUGCAGUUGCAGAGGAACAUCAACUUAAACAUCCAAAUGUGAGCUUCGUUUGGAGGUUCCUCUGGUCCCAGCGGGCCGCUGGUCAUAGCGAGUUGGGGAGGUAAAGCGAACACAGCAGCAUGUUCU
Poecilia reticulata (guppy) is the source of this 272-nucleotide long non-coding RNA. RefSeq lists it as uncharacterized. The record is from RefSeq and is a predicted model, not a curated record. NCBI's taxonomy places the organism in Eukaryota, Metazoa, Chordata, Actinopteri, Cyprinodontiformes, Poeciliidae.